CCUCACAAGACAAAACUCGUCCACUAGGGCCACCUAGGGGUUUAAAGCCUUAUUGCAUACGGUAAAUGCAAUCGCGAUUCCUGCAAAAGUGAGUUAACUUCUUUUCUAUUAUUUUGCUCGAGGACUAGCAAAAUAUAGGUUGGGAGGUGUGAUAAGUGCUAAAUAAUGCAUAAAUUAAUAUUUUAUUCAUAGCACUUAUCAUUAUUUUAAUUCACAUAUUUUGUAAAUUCAACUAA
Molecule: long non-coding RNA, 236 nt
Filed under: Phoenix dactylifera (date palm)
Lineage: Eukaryota; Viridiplantae; Streptophyta; Magnoliopsida; Arecales; Arecaceae
Description: long non-coding RNA (PDAC_LNC019044)
Source: RNAcentral